Mobula hypostoma (lesser devil ray) is the source of this 810-nucleotide long non-coding RNA. RefSeq lists it as uncharacterized. The transcript is spliced from 3 exons. The record is from RefSeq and is a predicted model, not a curated record. Lineage: Eukaryota; Metazoa; Chordata; Chondrichthyes; Myliobatiformes; Myliobatidae.
ACGAAGAACGGCAAAGAGAGAUCUGAUUGCCGCGAUUUGUCGGGAAUUAUGGCCCCGAACAAUGUCAAAGACUAUUACAUUGAAACACGCUAAAGUGGAAAUAAACAACGAGAGCUAAGUGUGUGACCACAUGGAAGGCUGACCCGGCGACAAGCACUGAGCCGUCUCGCAGUCCAUUCGGCCCAGGCGGGUGUCUCCCUCAGCGGGUACACAGGAAGAGUUCAUGAUGAUAUCCGGCAAGAUGGUAACUCGAGGAAAUCUGCAGAUGUUGGAAAUUCAAGCAACACACACAAAAUGCUGGUGGAAUGCAGUAGGCCAGGCAGCACCUAUUGGAAGAGGUACAGUCGACAUUUCAGGCCGAGACCCUUUGUCAGGACUCAUUGUCCGACACUGCCUGUCUAAGCAUUUUCUGCGCCCGUUUUUGAGUUUCACGUUGUGUUGGGAAUAUCCACAUGGGAAGAGAAGAUGCCUUGGAGUUAAAGGGGAUGAAUCCUGUAAAGUCCCCACUACAAUGUCAGCAGGAUGUUUGUUUAUCUGCAUUUCAUGGAUGUGAUUGUGAUGGUCACGUGAUUCAGAGUUGGAGCCUGGAAGUCAUUUGCUGCAGUGAAUUAACAUAUCAACUUGCAUUUCUCUGGGAUGUGGGAGGAAAUCAGAGCACCCAGGGGCAACCAUACAGUCCCAGGCAGUGCCAGACUGCAGGGUUGAACCCAGGUCACUGGAACUUUAAAGCAGCAUCUCUACCCAAAGUCAUUCUCUCUCACGUGACCCAACCAACUACCCUCUAAAAAAUUUGAUGCCCAAAUUCUUUCU